UACGUAGGGGGCUAGCGUUGUCCGGAAUUAUUGGGCGUAAAGGGCUCGUAGGCGGUCUGUCGCGUCGGGAGUGAAAACUCAGGGCUUAACCCUGAGCCUGCUUCCGAUACGGGCAGACUAGAGGUAUGCAGGGGAGAACGGAAUUCCUGGUGUAGCGGUGAAAUGCGCAGAUAUCAGGAGGAACACCGGUGGCGAAGGCGGCGUUCUGGACUGUAACUGACACUGAGAAACGAAAGCCAGGGUAGCAAACGGG
This 253-nucleotide ribosomal RNA is filed under the name uncultured bacterium. Its description in RNAcentral is "partial 16S ribosomal RNA". It matches the Rfam family "Bacterial small subunit ribosomal RNA", at positions 524 to 776 of the family's 1533-position model. The record is from RNAcentral.